CUAGAAAAAAUACAACAAUGAAUUAAUUAUAUCAAAUUCAAAAAUUUUAAAAGAUUCUACCAUAAAUUCCAACAUUAAUAGUUCCAUAAUAUUAAGCAAAGAUAAUCUAAGAUACCACUCUAAAUUAUUAAAAAUAUCAUAAACAAUAUCUUUGCAUUGUAUAAAUUAAGAUCAAAUAAUAAAAAAAUAAAAAAACUACUUUGAACCUUCAUCUAUUCAGCACUCAACCCAUAGCAC
Molecule: long non-coding RNA, 237 nt
Filed under: Elaeis guineensis (African oil palm)
Lineage: Eukaryota; Viridiplantae; Streptophyta; Magnoliopsida; Arecales; Arecaceae
Description: long non-coding RNA (EGUI_LNC006405)
Source: RNAcentral